GGCGAGUUACGAUUUGUUGCAAGGUUAAGCGGAAAAAGCGGAGCCGUAGCGAAAGCGAGUCUGAAUAGGGCGCAUAAGUAACAGGUCGUAGACCCGAAACCAGGUGAUCUACCCAUGUCCAGGAUGAAGGUAAGGUAAUACUUACUGGAGGUCCGAACCCACGCACGUUGAAAAGUGCGGGGAUGAGGUGUGGGUAGCGGAGAAAUUCCAAUCGAACUUGGAGAUAGCUGGUUCUCUCCGAAAUAGCUUUAGGGCUAGCCUCGAGGUAAAGAGUCAUGGAGGUAGAGCACUGUUUGGACUAGGGGCCCUUCUCGGGUUACCGAAUUCAGAUAAACUCCGAAUGCCAUGUACUUAUACUCGGGAGUCAGACUGCGAGUGAUAAGAUCCGUAGUCGAAAGGGAAACAGCCCAGACCACCAGUUAAGGUCCCCAAAUAUAUGUUAAGUGGAAAAGGAUGUGGGGUUGCUUAGACAACCAGGAUGUUGGCUUAGAAGCAGCCACCAUUGAAAGAGUGCGUAAUAGCUCACUGGUCGAGUGACCCCGCGCCGAAAAUGUACCGGGGCUAAACAUAUUACCGAAACUGUGGAUGAACCUCUUUAGAGGUUCGUGGUAGGAGAGCGUUCUAAGGGCGGUGAAGUCAGACCGGAAGGACUGGUGGAGCGCUUAGAAGUGAGAAUGCCGGUAUGAGUAGCGAAAGAAGGGUGAGAAUCCCUUCCACCGAAUAUCUAAGGUUUCCUGAGGAAGGCUCGUCCGCUCAGGGUUAGUCGGGACCUAAGCCGAGGCCGAUAGGCGUAGGCGAUGGACAACAGGUAGAGAUUCCUGUACCAGUGCUAAUUGUUUAACCGAUGGGGUGACACAGAAGGAUAGGGAAUCGCACGAAUGGAAAUGUGCGUCCAAGCAGUGAGUGUGAGAAGUAGGCAAAUCCGCUUCUCGCGAAGCAUGAGCUGUGAUGGGGAAGGAAAUUAAGUACGGAAGUUCCUGAUUUCACGCUGUCAAGAAAAGCCUCUAGGAAGAGUAGUACUGCCCGUACCGCAAACCGACACAGGUAGAUGAGGAGAGAAUCCUAAGGUGAGCGAGAGAACUCUCGUUAAGGAACUCGGCAAAAUGACCCCGUAACUUCGGGAGAAGGGGUGCUCUAUUAGGGUGCAAGCCCGAGAGAGCCGCAGUGAAUAGGCCCAGGCGACUGUUUAGCAAAAACACAGGUCUCUGCAAAACCGUAAGGUGACGUAUAGGGGCUGACGCCUGCCCGGUGCUGGAAGGUUAAGAGGAGUGCUUAGCUUCGGCGAAGGUACGAAUUGAAGCCCCAGUAAACGGCGGCCGUAACUAUAACGGUCCUAAGGUAGCGAAAUUCCUUGUCGGGUAAGUUCCGACCCGCACGAAAGGCGCAACGAUCUGGGCACUGUCUCAACGAGAGACUCGGUGAAAUUAUAGUACCUGUGAAGAUGCAGGUUACCCGCGACAGGACGGAAAGACCCCGUGGAGCUUUACUGCAACCUGAUAUGGAAUGUUUGUACCGCUUGUACAGGAUAGGUAGGAGCCGAAGAGACGUGUGCGCUAGCAUACGAGGAGGCAAUGGUGGGAUACUACCCUGGCUGUAUGACCAUUCUAACCCGCCACGCUUAGCGCGUGGGGAGACAGUGUCAGGUGGGCAGUUUGACUGGGGCGGUCGCCUCCUAAAGAGUAACGGAGGCGCCCAAAGGUUCCCUCAGAAUGGAUGGAAAUCAUUCGCAGAGUGUAAAGGCACAAGGGAGCUUGACUGCGAGACUGACAAGUCGAGCAGGGACGAAAGUCGGGCUUAGUGAUCCGGUGGUUCCGCAUGGAAGGGCCAUCGCUCAACGGAUAAAAGCUACCCCGGGGAUAACAGGCUUAUCUCCCCCAAGAGUCCACAUCGACGGGGAGGUUUGGCACCUCGAUGUCGGCUCGUCGCAUCCUGGGGCUGUAGUCGGUCCCAAGGGUUGGGCUGUUCGCCCAUUAAAGCGGCACGCGAGCUGGGUUCAGAACGUCGUGAGACAGUUCGGUCCCUAUCCGUCGCGGGCGCAGGAAAUUUGAGAGGAGCUGUCCUUAGUACGAGAGGACCGGGAUGGACACACCGCUGGUGUACCAGUUGUUCCGCCAGGAGCAUCGCUGGGUAGCUAUGUGUGGCAGGGAUAAACGCUGAAAGCAUCUAAGCGUGAAGCCCCCCUCAAGAUGAGAUUUCCCAUUUCUUCGGAAAGUAAGAUCCCUGAAAGAUGAUCAGGUAGAUAGGUUUGGAGUGGAAGUGUAGCGAUACAUGGAGCGGACAAAUACUAAUCGAUCGAGGACUUAACCAAAA
This 2310-nucleotide ribosomal RNA is filed under the name Listeria monocytogenes. Its description in RNAcentral is "partial 23S ribosomal RNA". It matches the Rfam family "Bacterial large subunit ribosomal RNA", at positions 622 to 2925 of the family's 2925-position model. Lineage: Bacteria; Bacillati; Bacillota; Bacilli; Caryophanales; Listeriaceae. The record is from RNAcentral.